RNAcentral lists this ribosomal RNA (849 nucleotides) under Triticum aestivum (bread wheat). RNAcentral describes it as "partial small subunit ribosomal RNA". The record is from RNAcentral. Lineage: Eukaryota; Viridiplantae; Streptophyta; Magnoliopsida; Poales; Poaceae.
AUGAACCCAUCAGAGAUCUUGAAUGUCAGAUUCCACUUUGGGGGGCAAUUCAUUAGGAUUGGUCCAAGUCUUGAUUAUGUUGGAGGAGAUUCUGGAAUGUCAGAGAUUGAGCGUGACAAGCUCUCUUUACAGGAGGUGAAAGGAUUUGUAGGAGAUUAUAUGGCAGUGAAGGAGAGCAUGAAGUAUUAUUUCUUGUUGCCUGGCAGCAAUUUGUCAAAUGGAUUACUCUUUUUACAUGAAGAUGUUGGCUGCAUGAAGAUGUCUGAAUAUAUUACAGAUGGAGGAGUUGCUGACAUAUAUGUGGAGUAUAAUGGUGAACGAGAUUAAAAGGAAGAAAUAGAUAGUGGGUCGGAUUUUGAAGAUGAGCUUGAUGAACUGAUGAAAAUGGGCAGUGAAGAAGAACCUGAUGUAGUUAUCACAGCAGAAGAGACUACUGCAGUUAAUCAUAAUGUUGCAGCAGUUAAUGAUGAUCUCAAUGUCAUUGAAGAGAGUGAUGUUGAAGGAGAAAUUCUUGAGCAUAUCCUUGUUCCUGAUGUAGGUGUUGUGAUCAAUCAAGUGAUAAGUAGUCCACUAAAGCAGAAUGUGAGAGUUGAUUAUCCUAGUCAGAGUUCUCAAGUUUUGGAUCUAAGUCAACCAUGUGCAGCAACACAAGACAUAUAUUGUUCACUGCCAGAGGUGGCACCAAAUGCUCAAGAAGUUGCAGAAAAUUCUUCAGAUUCAAAUGACUCAGAGAACUGUGAGUAUGUGCCACAUACUGAUGAUAGCAGGGAAGAAUCAGAGGUUGUAGAGUUGAGAAAACACGCAAGAAAAUUCAGGAAGAAAAAUGAAAGGUUCCAAGAUGUGGGCUGA